CCUCUUCUGGGAGAGAGAGAGGCAGCAAAAACUAAACAAAAACCCUGAGCAGAUAAGAAACUUCUCUCCACCGGCAGGAACGAGCCGUGCCGAAUGUUUCCCUUGUUCCCUGCGCUGCCUCUGACGUCUACGGCAUGUGGAGAUAAUAACUAUAACAGUCGACCACAGUAACCAGACAAUGAACUUUGCACAGGCGUUUAAAUGUUUUUCCAUUUUUUUUCCCGUCAAGAGGCAUCUGUGGCGUCCACAGGUGUGUCGCCGUGGCUCAAAACCAAGGAGGGAGGAUAAGUGUUGAGUGAGCGCAGACAAUAGCUACACUGUCUUCCUCAAACAUCUUCAAGGUCCCCGCGGAGGGAUAAAUGGCCAAGAGGAGGUGCCUUUCUGGGAGAGACUCGUCUGGAGCGUUGCAGGCUUCCAGCGUGCAGCCGGCAAUGGGGCUCUUUACACUCGCUGUUCCUUUUUCCUAUGCAUAUACCUUUUUCAGAUGUAACUUUAAAGAGGUAUAGGGCAUGGGAAAAUGGGGCUGCAGAGGUUUUCCACCGGGCCGACAGCCGUUUCAUCAUCGUCUUCGCAUGACAGUUGACCUCAAAGCGAACACAAACGCACACACUCGCACCGUGCUCCUUGGACUCACUGUCUGGAGGAAGAGGGCGUAGUGUAGACUGGUGAUUUUUGUGUUUCGGUGUUUUUCUGUGGUAUCGUUUCCACAUAAAUUCUGUGAUAUCUGUAGUGGAAAAAUAUUCUGAACGUCCCUGUGAGAAAUAACAAUGACUCAAAACCCUCAAAUUUCACUAUACAUGUACGGAGUGAUUUUAGGUGAAUGGAUAGAGCUCUUUCCCUACAGAUGAUUCAGAGAUCUAACUACAAUAAAGUGUAUAUAUACAGAGUAUAUGUUCACAGUAUUUUGUCUUUCUUUCCAACAUUGUUGUUCAUUGUUGUUAAAACAUCAUUUCACCCUGUUUUAUUCUGAAUCAUUUGUUUGCUACUUUUAAUGAAUAAAGAAGUCUUGGCAUUACA
Long non-coding RNA from Gasterosteus aculeatus aculeatus (three-spined stickleback), 1017 nucleotides. RefSeq lists it as uncharacterized. The record is from RefSeq and is a predicted model, not a curated record. Lineage: Eukaryota; Metazoa; Chordata; Actinopteri; Perciformes; Gasterosteidae.